CCACCGUCUCCAGAAGCCGUACAGCAGAAGUUUGAACUUCUGAUGAAGGACCCUUCUGUCAAGUGGCAGGUGAUUGAUGCAGCCAGGAACAUGAAGAUGUGCACGCUGCAUUAAGAAACCACAGUGUUGAUGCCAUCAAAGCAGCAGAGAACGAGCCAAUCGGGGAGCUGUGGAAGGAGAUUACACCUAACAGUGCCUAGUACACAAGGAGAAGUCCGAAGAUGGGUAAAAGACUUGAAUAUGAAACUGCAAACUGUAUGUUACGAUAUUUAAGUGGGUAUAGUCAACUCUUUCAAAUCAUUAUUUCACACAAAAAAAACACAAACAAGUAAAUUUAAAUAAAUGUCCAAGCUGUAAAUUUA
Molecule: non-coding RNA, 362 nt
Organism: Salvelinus sp. IW2-2015
Lineage: Eukaryota; Metazoa; Chordata; Actinopteri; Salmoniformes; Salmonidae
Source: RefSeq, a predicted model, not a curated record